This 698-nucleotide ribosomal RNA is filed under the name uncultured bacterium. Its description in RNAcentral is "bacterial SSU rRNA". It matches the Rfam family "Bacterial small subunit ribosomal RNA", at positions 140 to 826 of the family's 1533-position model. The record is from RNAcentral.
GGGAUAACACUUGGAAACAGGUGCUAAUACCGUAUAACACUAUUUCCGCAUGGAAGAAAGUUGAAAGGCGCUUUUGCGUCACUGAUGGAUGGACCCGCGGUGCAUUAGCUAGUUGGUGAGGUAACGGCUCACCAAGGCCACGAUGCAUAGCCGACCUGAGAGGGUGAUCGGCCACACUGGGACUGAGACACGGCCCAGACUCCUACGGGAGGCAGCAGUAGGGAAUCUUCGGCAAUGGACGAAAGUCUGACCGAGCAACGCCGCGUGAGUGAAGAAGGUUUUCGGAUCGUAAAACUCUGUUGUUAGAGAAGAACAAGGAUGAGAGUAAAAUGUUCAUCCCUUGACGGUAUCUAACCAGAAAGCCACGGCUAACUACGUGCCAGCAGCCGCGGUAAUACGUAGGUGGCAAGCGUUGUCCGGAUUUAUUGGGCGUAAAGCGAGCGCAGGCGGUUUCUUAAGUCUGAUGUGAAAGCCCCCGGCUCAACCGGGGAGGGUCAUUGGAAACUGGGAGACUUGAGUGCAGAAGAGGAGAGUGGAAUUCCAUGUGUAGCGGUGAAAUGCGUAGAUAUAUGGAGGAACACCAGUGGCGAAGGCGGCUCUCUGGUCUGUAACUGACGCUGAGGCUCGAAAGCGUGGGGAGCGAACAGGAUUAGAUACCCUGGUAGUCCACGCCGUAAACGAUGAGUGCUAAGUGUUGG